UGGCGAACGGGUGAGUAACACGUGGGUGAUCUGCCCUGCACUUUGGGAUAAGCCUGGGAAACUGGGUCUAAUACCAGAUAGGACCAUGCUUUGGAUGGUGUGGUGGAAAGUUUUUUCGGUGUAGGAUGAGCUCGCGGCCUAUCAGCUUGUUGGUGGGGUAAUGACCUACCAAGGCGUCGACGGGUAGCCGGCCUGAGAGGGUGUACGGCCACAUUGGGACUGAGAUACGGCCCAG
Molecule: ribosomal RNA, 235 nt
Filed under: uncultured Actinomycetales bacterium
Lineage: Bacteria; Bacillati; Actinomycetota; Actinomycetes; Actinomycetales
Description: partial 16S ribosomal RNA
Rfam family: Bacterial small subunit ribosomal RNA
Source: RNAcentral